GAUCUUAGUAGAAAAUGAGAAGUCCUAUGCGAUUUGUGAGACUGAGUUUAGAAAGUUUUUGAUUAAAAUAAGUGAGAAUACUGAAAAAGAGUUUCCACGAGAUUCAUAAAUGAACUUGAGUCGAGCCAAUCUUGCAUAUGACUGACGAUGGAGUCUGACGAGUUCUCCAUGACCUCCAUCAAGUCAGGACUCACAAUAGAAAGACUGAAUCAAACGAUAACUCCACCUAGGGGUUCACACUUUUAUUCUACUAGGUUGCCACUACAUACUGCUAGGUGUCACUGAUGGAUUGUGGGACUCAUCGGGUGUCAUCUUGAU
This 318-nucleotide long non-coding RNA is filed under the name Elaeis guineensis (African oil palm). RNAcentral describes it as "long non-coding RNA (EGUI_LNC035663)". Lineage: Eukaryota; Viridiplantae; Streptophyta; Magnoliopsida; Arecales; Arecaceae. The record is from RNAcentral.